RNAcentral lists this non-coding RNA (30 nucleotides) under Rattus norvegicus (Norway rat). The record is from RNAcentral. Lineage: Eukaryota; Metazoa; Chordata; Mammalia; Rodentia; Muridae.
UCAGUGAAUCCUUAGAGCUGUUGCUGCUGC